UUUUUUUUCCUACGCCCCCGCUCUAGAGGUCAAAGACAAUGCUCGGGGCACUGAAGAUGUACAAAAAAGCAUGUGAGUCUUUUUUAUAUUACCACUUAUCGAUGUUGAGUAUAUCAGCUUAAAAGCUACAUCCUUCUCCUAUUGAGUUGGAGUAGCCUUUUAUUGUUUUCAUUCUAGCUUAUCACUCAUAGCCAAAAUUUUAAAUUUUAAAAAUUAAAUUUAGACAGUUAAUUUCGAGUUAUUUUAUCGAAGUUUUUAGCAUCUACUUUUAAAAUCGCUAGAAAUCUUAACUAAUUAAAAUAUUCGUAAUUUUCCGUUCGCCACAAGACGGAUGAAGGCGCCUUCGUCCGUCGGCGGUGCGCCUUCGCAGCCCCCAAAUCCCAAUCGCUCUUAGAAUUGGAUACAGGGAAAUACUUUCUAAAAUCGGCGCAACCAAAACUCAACCACUCUGUCACAAAAAAUCAACCACAAUCAUCAUAAAAUCACAAAAUACAUCACAAAACUUCACAAAAAUAUACAUAAAAAAAGAAGAACAACAACAUACAUCACAAAACAUCACUUGCCUGCUGCCGGAUCCACCCUCGGCCAUCGCCACCGCGGCCCUCGGCCGUUGCCACCGCCGCACUCGGCCGUCGCCAUCGCCACCCGAUCCAUCCGCGGUAGCCGCCGACGCCACCACCGCUGCCGGAGGGAGAAGAGAGGCGGCGGAGGGAGCCGCCGCUCCUUAUCCGCCCACGGACGCCGCCACCGUCACUGGAUCUGCUGCGGGAGGAAGACGAGAGGGGACGGAGGGAGCCGCCGCAGCUAGAUCUGCCUGUGGCCACCGCCGGCGGAUCUGCCACGGGAGGAAGGCUAGAGGGAGUGGAGGGAGCCCACCGCCACAACCCUCGGAUCCGCCUGCGGCCGCCGCCAACUCUCCGCCAUCGCCGCUGUAUCCACCGCGGAAGGGAGGCGAGACAGGGCGGAGGGAGCGGCCGCCGGCUAGGGAGGUGAGAUGGGGCGGAGAGAGCUGCUGUCGCCGUCCCCGCCGCUCGCGGGAAGGGGGGAAGGGCACACUACAACCACUCGGGGGGAGGGGGUGGAGGGCGCUACCACCGCUGCUCGGUGGGGGAGGUCGCCACCGCCGUCGUCGGUUUUCGAUUGAUCGAGAGAGAGAGAGGAUCGGGGGCGGGAAGGGUGGAAAAGAAUUUUAGGAUUAGGGUUUUUGCUGCAGACAUUUAUAUUGGUUGUGAUCAAUCUAGACCGUCCAUUCGAUCGAACGGCUCCAGCUUCUCGCGCAUCGGGCCACCGGACUAUUGGGCCUCCGCAUUAUUGGGCCUACAAAUGGGCCGCAAUUAAAAUAAAUGUUUUCUCUCUCAGUAAUUUUAAGCAACUUUCUAUUUUCAAAAAUAGCACCAUUUUAAUUAUUUAUGACUGCUUAUUAAUUUAAUUCCAACUAAAUUGAAUAAACUAGAACAUUGGCUAGAUUUUUCUCAUGAUAUGGAUUUAUUUUUCGACUAAAAAUGUAAUUAUUUAUUUGUCAUGAUAUAGAAUUUAAAUUUAGACUAAAAUUAAAUAAUUUUAAUUUUUAAUUCUAUAUGGACUCUAUUCUUCUUCCAAUAUUCCUAUUUUUUUAUUGUUCUAAUUAGUUUCUAUAUGAACUCUAAACUCUUCUUUCAAUAUUUUUAUUUUAAAUUUUAAUUAUUUUUCUAAAUUGUAUUCCUAUAUGCACUCUAGGCUCUUUUGGAGAAUAUUCUAGACUCCUCAUCCAAUAUUAUUUAUUUUAUAAUUUAUACUUUAUAUUAAGUCGUAUUAUUUAUAUAGACAGAUUAAUCUAUCCAGUGUAGGGUUUUUUUUUGCAAAAAGAUUUGUUUUAUGUAGAUAUCCGAUUGGACAACGUGAUUUUUUUUAAAAAAAACAAAAUGAAAGAGUCCUGGUCUACAAUGAGUUCUCCUUAUUUUUUUAUAUUUUACUCCAAUUAAUAUGAGAAUUUCUAUUUGAGACUUUUCUAGCAAGCAAAAAUACCAAAGCAGUGUGAAAAUAACUUCGGUUAAAAACAAAUAUUUUUAGUGUUAUUACACCGUAGCGAAGCACAUGCAUUUUGCUAGUACAAAUAUAAACUUUUUACCCAUAGUUAUUUGGUUCCUUUUUUUUGCCUCAUCGCAGGGAGAGAACGACGAGGCCGUUAGUUUUGUGAUCUAACGGCGACGAUGCAAUUAUGAUAACUAGUAUGGUGGCCCGCGCAGAUUGCGCGGCUAGCAUCAUUAUAUUUUCUCUCAUAUAAUAGCAUAUAUGUUUUCUCAUUAUAUUAUUAAAAUAUAUUACAAUGACAACAUAAUUUUAAAUUUUGCAAUAACUUUACGAAACUACUAAUGUGUAAUAUUCAUAUUGUAUUUUAUAUACAUGUUAGUUAUUAAUUAUUUUUAAUAUCAAAUUUUAGUUAUUUGUGAAUUAUAUAUAUUCCUAUAUGGACUUUAGAAUCGUAUUUUAAUAUUUCUUUUUUUAAUUCUAAAUGUUUAUUAUUUCUAAUUGUAUUUCUAUGUGGACUCUAAACUUAUCUUUAAAUAUUCUUUAAUUUUUAAUUUCAAAUUUCACUUACUUCUAAACUGUAUUCCUAUAUUGGCUUUAAACUCUUCUUCCCAUGUUUUUCUUAAUUUCAAAUUUUAGUUAUUUGUAAAAUAUAUUUUUAUAUGGACUCUAAACACUACUUUUCAUUUUAUUAUGUUUAUUCCGAAUUUUAGUUAGUUUUAAAUUCUUAUAUGGACUCUAUACUCUACUUCUAAUAUUCCUUAUUUUUAAUUCUGAAUUUCUAUUUUUUUCUUAAUUGUAUUUCUAUAAGGACUCUAAACACUACUUUUCAUUUUAUUAUGUUUAAUCCGAAUUUUAGUUAGUUUUAAAUUCAUAUAUGGACUCUAUACUCUACUUCUAAUAUUCCUUAUUUUUAAUUCCGAAUUUCUUUUUUUUUCGUAAUUGUAUUUCUACAUGGACUCUAUACUCUACUUCUAAUAUUUCUUAUUUUUAAUUCCGAAUUUCAGUUAUUUCCUAAUUGUAUUUCUAUAUGGACUCUAGUCUCCUCUUCUAAUAUUUCUUAUUUUUUUAAUUCCGAAUUUUAACUAUUUCUAAAUUGUAUUUCUAUAUGAACUCUAGUCUCAUCUUCUAAUAUUCCUUAUUUUUUAAUUCUGAAUUUCAACUAUUUCUAAAUUGUAUUUCUAUAUAAACUCAUCUUUCAAUAUUCUUUAAUUUUUAAUUUCAAAUUUCAGUUACUUCUAAAUUGUAUUUCUAUAUUGACUUUAAACUCUUCUUCCCAUGUUUUUCUUAAUUUCGAAUUUUAGUUAUUUAUAAAUUGUAUUUUUAUACGGACUCUAAACUCUACUUUUAAUUUUAUUAUGUUUAUUCCGAAUUUUAGUUAGUUUAAAAUUCCUAUAUGGACUCUAUACUCUACUUCUAAUAUUCCUUAUUUUUAAUUCUGAAUUUCAGUUAUUUCCUAAUUGUAUUUCUAUAUGGACUCUAGUCUCCUCUUCUAAUAUUCUUUAUUUUUUAAUUCCGAAUUUCAACUAUUUCUAAAUUGUAUUUCUAUAUGAACUCUAGUCUCCUCUUCUAAUAUUCCUUAUUUUUUAAUUCCGAAUUCCAGCUAUUUCUAAAUUAUAUUUCUGUAUAAAUUCAUCUUUCAAUAUUCUUUAAUUUUUAAUUUCAAAUUUCUGUUAAUUUUAAAUUGUAUUUCUAUAUUGACUUUAAACUCUUCUUCCCAUGUUUUUCUUAAUUUGGAAUUUUAGUUAUUUGUAAAUUGUAUUUUUAUACGGACUCUAAACUCUACUUUUAUUUUUAUUAUGUUUAUUCUGAAUUUUAGUUAGUUUUAAAUUCCUAUAUGGACUCUAUACUCUACUUCUAAUAUUCCUUAUUUUUUAAUUCCGAAUUUUUAUUUUUUUUCUUAAUUGUAUUUUUAUAUGGACUCUAUACUCUACUUCUAAUAUUCCUUAUUUUUAAUUCCGAAUUUCUAUUAUUUCCUAAUUGUAUUUCUAUAUGAACUCUAUACUCUACUUCUAAUAUCCCUUAUUUUUUAAUUCCGAAUUUCAAUUCUUUUUGACUGAAAUUGCGAAUUUCAGUUAUUUCCUAAUUGUAUUUCUAUAUGGACUCUAGUCUCCUCUUCUAAUAUUCCUUAUUUUUUUAUUCCGAAUUUCAGCUAUUUCUAAAUUGUAUUUCUAUAUGGACUCUGCUUUUUUUCUUUUUCUCCGAUUAAUGCGAGAAUUUCUAGGUCAUGAGAGCGAACAUGGAGGCUCCUUUUUAUUCCGAAUUUUAGUUAGUUUUAAAUUCCUAUAUGGACUCUAUACUCUACUUCUAAUAUUCCUUAUUUUUUAAUUCCGAAUUUCUAUUUUUUCUUAAUUGUAUUUCUAUAUGAUCUCUAUACUCUACUUCUAAUAUUCCUUAUUUUUAAUUCUGAAUUUCUAUUAUUUCCUAAUUGUAUUUCUAUAUGGACUCUAUACUCUACUUCUAAUAUUCCUUAUUUUUAAUUCCGAAUUUCAGUUAUUUUCUAAUUGUAUUUCUAUAUGGACUCUAGUCUCCUCUUCUAAUAUUCCUUAUUUUUUAAUUCCGAAUUUCAAUUAUUUCUAAAUUGUAUUUCUAUAUGGACUCUAGUCUCCUCUUCUAAUAUUCCUUAUUUUUUUAAUUCCGAAUUUCAGCUAUUUCUAAAUUGUAUUUCUAUAUGAACUCUGUUUUUUUUCUUUUUCUCCGAUUAAUAUGAGAAUUUCUAGGCCAUGAGAACGAACGUGGAGGCUCCUUUUUCUAUUCCUUUAAUAAUAUAAUAGAUUUUUUUAAGAAAAAUGCUCGUGUUAUACGUGAUCUGAGAUACACUUGAUACGUAAGUGGUGUGUGGUUUAAAUUCUGAGAUCCCGUGUUGAAUUUUCAACACGCUCGUAAGUUCUUCUAAAAAAAUAUUUGAAGUGACGUCUCUCUCCAAACCUUUUUUUUUUUGGUGGGGUUUAGACAGGAUCUGAACCGGACCUGUACAAGUUGAACCUGAUGAGACGAGAUACUAUGCAUGCAUAUAAACAUUACACGAUCCUAAUCCCACCAAGGAGAAAAAACCGAUCCUUGGCGAGGCAGAUCCUGACAUAUCCUUGUCCUCCCGACCACCACAGUUGAUCGUAGCCACCCUGGCGUGCGUGCAUAGCCAGUUUAGCCACACGAAACUGUAGCUCUCUCGACCCAAAUUCCCCGAACCCACCUACUAGCUACUCCUGCACUGCAACAGCAAAUGCAAGGAGAAAAGCACCGAGCCAGCCGAUGAGACUCGGUGACCGUGCCCCGGCGCCGACCGCCGCGUGUGCGUGUUCGCCCAGGCAAAAGACACAGCGCAAUUGCGCGCACUCUCUUUCGCAGGCCGCGCCGCCGCCGCCGCUUCGCUUUGCAAUUGCAUGCGCCCUUUUGCCGACGCCGCCUAGCUUAUCAUUAUCCUUCCUCGUCGGCCGCGGUUUUCACCGUCCUCUCUCAGCUCCCCUCGUGUUUUCACCGAGCGACGCACUCGUAAAAAUACAUCAAAGAACGCCGCGGUAAAAGCUACGCACCCCGUACGUACGUAAAAAAGUGGGUGGUAAAAAAAAAGGAUGGGUUGGUGUACUGGUCUCUGCGUACGUGAAAAGACUAGCUAUCGAUGCGUGUAUCUCUGUGCGUGCGCGAACGGAAGAGGGGAGCAGCAGCGAGAGGCUUUAGCUAGUCUCGCCUUUUUCUUUUUCCCGGCUUUAUAUAAGGCUCACUCGCUCACACUCACUCACUUGUGUCUAGUUUACACCGAUCAGUAGUAGUGCUACUACCACUUUGGGUCGGAUCGAGCUUGUUGUUGCCUGCAAAUCUGCAAAUAAUCUUAGCUCCUUCAGCUAAAGAGCAAGCAACGGCUACUAGCUUCCCUCAACGCCCUCGUCGCUUGCCUCACCGUCACCGUCGUCACUCGUCAUUCACCAACACUCGUCAGGUACGCUUCUCGCAGCUUGUAGUAUGGAUAUGUGCUGCAGUGUUUAGCUUCUACUGGUGUGAUGAUUAAUUUCUUGGGCUUCUUCCGAUCCUGUGACGAAGUCGCUUGUGAUAAUUUGGGGCUUAUUCAGCUCAGACGACCAGAUGCAAAGCCUGAAAGUCUGUCGUCUGCUAAGCCUGUAGCCGUAGCACGUCGUCUUCUCGUGAGCCUCUGGUUGGAUGGAACCUUGGAGAGGAGAUGGAAGUAUGGUAGUAGUGUCGUACCAGUACUUGUGCCUGCUGCUGCUCGCUGCACAUUGAGCUGCGUGGCGUAUGCGCCGCGCAUUUUGCUGCCUUUGCAAAAUGCUCGCCGAUGCAUAUGCAUAUGGUCUCGUUCUCCUCUUCUUUCGCUCGCUGCUCUUUUGAGGAGAGAGACACAAGCGAGGCCGGCUUUCUUUUGCCCCCAAAGCUGCGUGGCCAUGGCGUGCAGCCAAACGCUUCACAUCUCUCUUUUCUCUCUCUUUGGCACUGUCGAGAUACCAGUCACGCAUCACGGCCAUGUACGAACACGUCUCCUCCUCUGCAGCAAACCUGCUCUUCUUUCUCUCUCUAUCUAUCCAACGCUAUCAAACUGUAGCCGUAGGCCUCUGGCGAGGCAUUAAAUGCAAGCGAGGCAUUAAAACGCAGGCACAGCUCAUGAUUGCGUCGCUUGUUGGUUUCCUCCUCGUCGUGUUCCAAGCUUCGACCUGCAAGCUCGGACGGACGACUUGCCUUCUUGCCGUCGCAAAAGGGUGCCCUAAAAACUGAUCCUCGGUCCUUUCCAUGUCACCCACGACGAAGAACAACAUUGCUCGCACAGCGUAGGAGUAGCUACCAUUCCUUGUCCUGUCAUGGAACAUCACCGAGGAAAAAACGAGUAAUUUAUGUCUACUACAGAAUCUUGGCUGGCUGAUUUCUAUAGCUACCUGGACAGCGCAUUUUCGAGUACUAGUAUAGGAGUAUAGUACUCUAUGAUUUUGUGGAUAGUAGCUUUUUGCAUGUUUGGGUGUGUUUAGUUCACGUUAAAAUUGAAAAUUUGGUUGAAAUUAAAAUGAUGUGAUGGAAAAUUUAAAAGUUUAUGUAUGUACGAAAGUUUUGAUGUGGUUAAAAAAUUGAAAGUUUGAAAAAAAAUUUUGGACUAAACAAGGCCUUUGUAUCUUUAUUUUACAAACUUUGUGCUGUUGGAGUAGUACUAGACUACUAGUAGGAGUAACUUUGUAUUGAUAAUACUAGGAGAUGAACGUACUUGUAGGUAAUGGUACUAACAGACUACGAAAGAUUCCAACAGCAUCUAUAUAUGAAAAAGGGGAACAAAGGAGAAUUCUGAAAAAAGAAAAGCACGCAACUCCUCUCUUUGAUUUUUUUGCUUUUGUCCAUCCAUGCAUCAGCCAACGGUUAAAAAACCCCGUCGUUGCAUCAUGGGUCCGCAGCACCAAAAGCCCCUCAUCCUCCUCCCCCUUUUGCAGAGCAUUUCUUCCCUUUUCCCCCAGCAACGAGGGUAAAAGCAAGCUAGUAUCCUACUAUGGUCUACUCCAGCCAGGCUACCACUGCCAUCCUGCAUGUCUCCCGUCCGUCGAUCGUGCCAUCAUCCGCCUGCAGCGUCACGCGAGUCGGGUUCGCCGUGACGACGACGACGACGAGAGAUCAUAAUAGUAGAUGGAAGACUACCACCAGCGGUAGCAUAGCUAUAAUAGUAACUUCUUCAUCAUUUACAGUUAAUUUAAUAGUCAAUAGUCAAUUCAUAUAAUAGUUAUCUAUAAAUAUAUACUAUUUCUACCUGUUAUACACAUAUUGUGUCUUGUAAUCCGUACUAUAGCCUAUUGCUUAUCUCUCUUUCUUCACUGUGUUUAUAGCUGGCUUAUAGUUUAAGAACGGUGGUGAAAUGCUAGAAAAGUUACUAUAGGACUAAUCUCGCCUUUGCUCCAAAAAAGAGGGGCAGAAAGACCGGGGCGUGCUCGUGCUGGACCAUCCGCCGCUCUCGCGCGGGACCAAACCAACCAACCAGCCGCGCGCGCGCGCGCGAGCCCGGCAGCCGAGCUAGCUAGCCACGCCCACCAAUUCCACCGUGCACGCGCGCGCAUGCGUGCAUGCUCGCGAGAACGGUCGGGUCGGGCCCUCGGCGUGGGAUCGAGUUGUUUGGUUGCCUUUCCCGUGCUCGAUAGAUAGCGCCGGACGACGACGACGACGUCUUUCUGGUCUUUUUGGGUGCACACACGCACCCGUUUGCACGUCGCGUCGCUGUCCCUCGCUGCCACUUCGGCUAAAAGUCGUGCGACGACGGGGAUCAUAUCCGUGUGUGUUUGCGUUCGGUUCGACACGUGACACGGCUGUUGUGUUUGAUUGUCUCGUAUGUACUAUAUUUUUCACCUCCCUGAAGAAAAAAAAUGGGAAAACUGAGAUUAGUAGGGGAAGGAGUUUUUUUUUUAAUCUUGUGGGUGGCCUUUGUGCAUGCGAUGCGAUUCGCACCGAAUCUUGUCUGGUCAGGUAGCGGCGUCACGUACCCAUGUUACGUCCUUUCCAGCUUCAACGCCGCCAUGAUUGCACUCAGUCGCAGCAGCCGCGCGUGCUCGGCUGCGCCGUCAAUAAUGGCCUCGUAUCUCCUCCACCCACAAGGCCACACACAGCCCAGUAGUAGGCCAGUAGUCCACCGGGGUCAACUCCUCCUUCGAGUGCAACCUCUGCCAGUGCCAGCCAUCAAACCAAGACCCCCCCGAAUUAGCCCCAAAUGAUCUCUUUUUCGUGUCACCUUUUCCCUUUUUUUUUCGUCCUGCGAUCAGGCUAGAGUACGUACGAGUACUAGUACUAGUGUACCAGGCAACGAGAGCCAUCGAUGGCACGCAGCGCUAGUCCACUCGAUUACGGUUGCUCGCCGUACGUCUCGGCGCGACGCGGCCGUGGUCCCUGCGUCGCGCGCGCGUCGCGUCGCGCACGCCACGCCGGCGCUCGCAUGCGAUCAUGCGCGAGCUCGUCGCACCGGCUUGGCCUUUUGCCGCGCGCCACGGCUUUUCUGACCCCCAAAAUAAAAGAAAAAACGGCUGCAGCCAGCGGCGGCCGGUCAGCCAGCCGGCCAGCUACACGGUGCGCGUACGUACGGGGGGAAACACGCACUGUGUGGGGGGAAGGAAAAAAACUCGUUGAGCAGACUGGGUGGCUCUCGGUUCAAAAUUGUCUCCAUUGAUCUAAUUUUUAAAAACUUUUAAAGUAAAAAUAUUUAUUUUUAACUAAAGUUGCUUACACGCUACUCUCUUCGGUCUAAUAAUACUUGCCCUUUUAUAUAAGGGUAAAGUCAAACUUUAGAAUCUUUGAUUAUGAAUCUUUUUAAAAUAUUUGUCCUUCAAAUAUGAUGAUUACAUGUAUAGAUUAGUCUUAAAAAAUAAUUUAAUAAGAUCAUAUAUUUGUUAAUACUUUUAUACAUGUUAUAAUGAAAAAUAAUGGUCAAAAUUAUUUUUUGGAGAUCGUAUCCUUGUCCAAAACGACAAGUAUUAUCAAUCCGGAGGGAAUACUAACUUAGCUCAUUAAACAAAGAAAAAUAUACCCCCUACAUCCAUAAAAGUUACACAUAUUAUUUAUAUUAUUUUUGUCACCAAGACCAAGGAAAAUUUAAAUCAUCUUGGAUGUUACAAAAUCAUAGAGUGAAUGCAAGCAUGUAACCAAUGAGUGUUUAGAUGCCUCCUUGGGUUCUAAUCAAAUAUUUAAUUUGUCUCCUUAUUUAAGUCUUGAAUGCAUAAAGACUGCAGAUAGAAAUAACUUAUUUGGGAAAAACUCAAAUGUGAAAUAUAUUUAACUUUUGUGGUUGAAGGGAGUAAUAAACUAUAAAAACAGUACUACUAGCUAGCGUGUGAUGAUAUCUAGAUUUCCGUUUACAAUUAUAAACGAUUCUAAAAUACUUUUAUAAUAUUAAGGAAGUAGCAAAACGAUAAAUCAUAGUGAGUAUUAUUUAAUAUAUUUGACAAUAAACUAGAAGUAGUAGGGGAGAAAUAAACAAUACAAAAGUCGAUAAGUGUAAAAUAAACUAAUAGAAUACUAUGCCUUGGGAUUACAGAUAUCUUAUGUUUAUAAUAAAUUAAAAUAAUAUAAUCUCUUAUAUUUAUAUAUCGAGGGAGUACGAUCAUUUAGCGUAUUGUGCUGUACGCUAGAAAUUUCUUACGUCUGGUUCGUAGAACCAUUUGUGGGUGUGAUCUUAAGCGAGGGUACCUGCGUACGUAGGUAGAAGAUGGGGACGGGGAUAUGGUUGAGAGAACGGGAGUGGUGAAUGCCGUCCUGAAUCCACGGAGCAGCGUAUGGAGUCACGAUUUGUUACGGUGAGCUCUCGCUCUCGUCAUGGCGGAGGUGGAUCGAUCCAUCCAUUUUCACGCCGGUCGUGGUCAUCCAUCAAUGCUCAUGUAUCGUGCCAGCGAGAUUGCAGGUGAUGUCUUCAUCAUCUAAUCGGAAAUUCAGCAACCUGGGGAGAAAAAAAAAUCAACAAAUCGCUGAGCACUGUACCUAAUUUCCGGGACGAUUCCGUACGAGCCCCCUAACAGUAGUGUACUUACUGGAGUACUAAGUGCAAUGAGCUAAUGCCAUGUUUGCCAUUACUACUUGCAAGCAGUCAAUCUUUAGGGCAGAUGAGACGAUCUGAUCCGUCCGAAGAAAAGAGAGGGGGAGAGGGACCCAGCCGUGUUGUGGUGUGAUGAUGGCGCCUUUUGAGCACGCAAAAGAGGAGUCCUAGACCGACCUGCCAAUGCCGUGCCCGUGGCAGCCGGCAGGUAGUGGGUUGGCACUGCCUGACCCCCCGACCCGACUCCCCUGCCUCCUGCUGCCGCUAGCUGCGACCUGCACCGGCGCAUGCCGCAGCACAACAGCAGCAGCGGCUCACAGUCACAGCUUGUGUGUGCGUACGUACAACCCGAGCACGCGCACAGUGCCGCACCGCAGCACGCGGCACAGCAGCGGCAUUAACGCCACAUGCUCUCAUAAACGUAUGAGUAUUUCUUCGCACUUUUUGCAGGCUUGCGAUGCAGCGACGACGGAGAACGCGGCGCCGCGCGGCGAAGGGCGAGACGAGGCCCGGGGUUGGGUGCGCGUGGUGGUGGUGCCAUGCACGGGCUGAUCGGGUUGGAUGGAUGGUCCCCCGUCCGUAGCCGUAAGGGUGGCCCGCGUGUGGCAGGUGGCGCAUGCAGCAGCGGGCGCAGCGGCUGCUGCUUGCUCUGCUUGUUCCCCUCCCCAAGCGCCGUGUUGCCUCUGACCGCGCCACGCGAAUGCUCCGCUUUGUCCCUCGACGCCACGCCACGCGAGUAGCGCCACGCACCGCCCACCACCCCAUCCAUCCAUCCAUCGGGCCGUGCGCCGUGGUUGGCGGCGUUUUUUCUUGGUAGGUUUUGUAUUGUACGCACGCACUGGUAGUGGACGGCUAGUAGCCUAGAACUGGUGUAAGUCGUUAACCCGUAAAACCUACUUAACCUGUUUGGAUUCGUGGCCGACCAAUUACACCCCUACCUAAAACUAAGAUCGGUGCUGCUGCUGCUUUUGCCCGUGCGCGCACGAGUAAAAAAUGGGUUUGGGCCAUGAGGGAACGAGGGGGUGUGUGUGUUGUGUUCUUCUAUUCUGCAAUGGUGGAGCGCCUUCUUGUCGGGGGCACGCACGCUUCCAAAGUUGUACCGCACGGGCACCGAGGGGCAGGGCAGGGCAGGUUCUCUCGGCUUUGGGACAUUUCUUGCUGCGUCGCUGGUGGUGUAGCAGUGGUGGUAGUGGGAGUAGUGGCGUUCAAGGCCAAAGGAUGUUGCGUUUCGAUUUCUCUAGUGCUUGGGCCAUGCUGCAUGAGGCUUAAACUAAACUUUGAUCACACUUUGGAUGCAUGUUCCUGCACAACACCAAAAAUAAAAAAAAAAUAAAAAUCCUCCAAAAAUAGCGCUUGGUAGGAUGUCCGUCAUGCCAGCAAUACGCAGUUGAAUCAGACUUAAGUGCCUGUCAGCAUUGAACAAAGUUUUGUAAUGUCAAAAGUUCCAUUAUUAUACACACAAUCUGCCUCUCAAUGAUAUUUACAAGUACUACUAGUACUAGUACUCCCAUGGUAACAUAACACCACGCGCUAGCGGCCAGCCACACGAACAUGUGAUACACUUCUCAAUAAAAAUCCCCAUCCAUUCUCCCUUCCUUCCAUCCCCUUCGAUAAUCCACCCCCAUCCGUUGGAAACCUCAGCUGCACUACCCUCUCGUGUUUCUCGCGCCCCAAUUAAUCCACGGGCCACAACGUUUUACCUACCGUCUCCCCCCACCUACAAGAAAUCAUUUCUACGACGCCUGCUACCUUUGGUAAAAAAAACGGAGCAUAUUUUGCUUCUUCCCUGUUCAAUCUUACCACCGGCAGGCAAGGCGAGGUCUAUUUAUUUAUUUACCGCGCGAGGCGGCCACUACUACUACUAGGACCAAACAGGGUCAAAGCAGCUGCAGUAGUUGCAUCAGUGACGAAGGGUUCUAAUGCCUUUCUGUCCCGCCUCGCAUUAAUUCUUUGGCUUGGUUGGAUGCGAGAGAAAAAAGAGGAGAGAUUUUGGUAGAAUUGUAAGAUUUUUGUUACUACUACCACUCGUUUUCUUGGCUUGGUUUGGUUUGGUGUUUGAUCACGCGGUGGUGACAUUAUAAGGGCGCGGUUGCGCAGGUGUUCGACCAGCGGGUGGCGAGGUCGGCGGCGAGGUGGUGGUGGUGCGCACAUGCUCGAGGUGCUGGACAUGGCGCCGCCCCGGCACCAGCCGGCAGCUGGGAAGGCGGGCGGCGGGCGCGGGCAUGGGCAUGGGCAUGGGCAUGGUGGUGGUGGUGGUGGGCCGGCGGCGAGGAAGCAGCCGUUGCAGAGUAGCAUGGCGCAGCCCAAGGCGGAGACGGCGGCGGCGACGGCGGCGGUCGCGCCGCCGGAGGGAGGGAAGAAGUGCGGCGGCGGUGGCGGGAGGCGGCGCGGCGGGCGCGGGCGCGGCGGCAGGGCGGGUGCGGGGCCGGGGCCGGGGCUGGCGGCGGCGCCGGCCGUGGUGGUGGCGCCCGCGGCGCGCGCCGUCAUUGGGCCGCCGGUGGCGAGCAAGGGGCUGUCGUUCUGCCGGCGGCCGGGGUUCGGGACGGUGGGCGCCCGGUGCGUCGUGAAGGCGAACCACUUCCUCGCCGAGCUCCCCGACAAGGAUCUCACCCAGUACGACGUAAGUCUCUCUCUCUCUCUCUGCUCCAUAUGUACUUUGAGCAUGGAAGAAAGGUGAGAGCGGUUUUCUUGGUUUCCGUGGCGCGGCGGCGGCGGACUUUGCAGGUGAAGAUCACGCCGGAGGUGAGCUCCCGGAGCGUGAACCGGGCAAUCAUGUCGGAGCUGGUCCGCCUCUACCACGACUCCGAUCUCGGAGGUCGCCUCCCGGCCUACGACGGCCGCAAGAACCUCUAUACCGCCGGGACGCUCCCGUUCGACGCGCGCGAGUUCGUCGUCCGCCUCACCGACGACGACGACGGCACCGGCGUCCCGCCACGGUGCGCGCAUUAUUUGCCCACAGCCCGGCGCUCCAUUCUUCUCCGGCCAUGUCUUAACCGUCAUCGCGUCUCUGGCUCCGCAGGGAGAGGGAGUACAGGGUCGCCAUCAAGUUCGCCGCGCGCGCCGACCUCCACCACCUCCGGCAGUUCAUCGCCGGGCGCCAGGCCGACGCGCCGCAGGAGGCUCUCCAGGUGCUCGACAUCGUGCUCCGUGAGCUUGCCAACCGCAGGUACGCACACGCAUUGCUCGUCGUCUUGUGUUCUUGCAAGGGAAAAGAAAGGAAAAAAACUAAUACUGAUUGGCCCCAAUGGUAGGUAUGUCUCGAUAGGGCGGUCGUUCUACUCGCCGGACAUAAGGAAGCCGCAGCGGCUCGGCGAUGGCCUACAGUCAUGGUGUGGGUUCUACCAGAGCAUCCGGCCGACUCAGAUGGGGUUGUCGCUUAACAUUGGUGAGAUGCUCGCGAAUAUUUGGUGCCCUCAUGCAUGUAUCUUUCCUGGUUGUCAUGUGCUUGCUGCUUACAUGGUGGAUGAUGUUGAUGCCAGAUAUGUCAUCUACCGCGUUCAUCGAGCCGCUACCAGUGAUCGAAUUCGUGGCCCAAAUACUAGGGAAGGAUGUCAUAUCGAGGCCAUUGUCGGAUGCAAACAGAAUCAAGGUAAAUUUAUGCUUGCGGGGAAGGAAUAGUCUAGCCUUGUUACUGUAGUGGGAUGUAAGAUGUGUUGUUUGGAUGCUUUUGGUUAACUGAUAGAUGGCUUAAUUGUGAUGCUUUGCAUGAUUAUCUGAUUUACCUGUGGAAUUCGCCAAUUCCAUGCAGAUCAAGAAAGCCUUGCGGGGCGUGAAAGUUGAAGUCACUCACCGGGGAAAUGUGAGGCGGAAGUAUCGCAUUUCAGGGCUGACAACACAACCAACUCAUGAACUGAUGUAUGUUAUAGUGUAAUUCAUUUCUCGUCAUGUACUUUCAAUUGUCAAAUGUCUUGUACCGAACUUUCACGAAAGUAGAAGCAUGCAUGUUAAGCACUCCCUCUUGCUUCUAAAUCUGAGUAUGGCAGACCAAAUAGACCAAAUUAACUAUCAAUAUCCAUAUUUCAUAUACGUUAGCUACUAGGCAUUGUGUUAAGCUAUGGAACUGAUUUUGUUUGUUUUAACAGUUUCCCAAUCGAUGACCAAAUGAACAUGAAAUCUGUCGUAGAGUAUUUCAAGGAAAUGUAUGGCUUCACCAUUCAGCAUCCCCAUCUUCCCUGCCUUCAGGUGGGAAACCAAAAGAAGGCAAACUAUCUACCAAUGGAGGUUGGUAUUAAUCUCAUCAAGUCACAAAUUUCAUUAGCUGGUCAAUUAUGUAACAUUCAACCUUGGUAAAAGACAUCAUCAUUUUGAGAUAUUUCUUACCAGGCCUGUAAGAUUGUUGAGGGUCAGAGAUAUACAAAGAGGUUGAAUGAAAAGCAGAUCACAUCAUUACUCAAGGUUACUUGCCGUAGGCCUAGAGAACAGGAGAUGGAUAUUCUACAGGUCUAGUUUUUUCUCCUAAUCGGAUUAUAACAUUUUGAAAUAUAUGGAUUACAUGUUUGUCAGGAGUAAAUGUUUCAAGUAUUUUGUCUUACUAAAUUGGAUGAUAAAUCCAAACACCAAAUCAGUGCAUUAGAAUUUAGAAGAUACGCAUGCUAAUGUACGUUAAUUGUUCUAUGCUGAAGUCUUUGUUUUCAUUACCCACUUCCAAGUGGUCCAAGCAUUCCAUGCAAUUGAUGUUCAAUAGCUACCCACCCAAUAAGUGCUACUAGGGUUUCUCUUCACUUGAUCAGCACUCUUGUUAUAAUGGUUCAAGACUAAAAAAAUUUCUUUCCAGACAGUUCAACAAAAUGGAUAUGAGCAAGACCCUUAUGCAAAAGAAUUUGGAAUCAACAUUAGUGAGAAGCUAACCUCAGUUGAAGCUCGGGUCCUUCCUGCACCUUGGGUAUGAUUUGCCUUUGUUAAUCUCAGUAGUUGGCUAACUGCUCUCAGCUAAUAAUUUGGGUAUGAAAUUUUGUGGCUUUCAGCUGAAAUAUCAUGAUACUGGGAAGGAAAAGGAGUGCUUGCCACAAGUUGGUCAGUGGAACAUGGUGAACAAGGUUAGAUUCCCCGUUUUCCGCAGCUGUAUACAACAGACGUCCUUUUAUAUAUCAUGAUGAUGGCCUGAUCCUGCUAGUUUUCCACUAAUUAAGCAUUUUUUUUUUGCAGAAAGUGAUAAAUGGGUGCAAGGUGAAUCAUUGGGCUUGUAUAAAUUUCUCAAGGAGUGUGCAAGAAACUACUGCUCGGGGAUUCUGCCAGGAGUUGGCACAAAUGUGUCAGAUAUCCGGCAUGGUAUAUAACUCUUAACUUCAUCUAAUGGUUUUGCAUAAUAUUGGUGCUUUUAUAAUGUUAUUUGUUGGCUGCAUCUUUUCAGUUUUAUCUCUGCUCUUCUUGCAGGAAUUCAACAGUGAGCCUGUGAUACCAAUAUACUCAGCUAGACCAGAUCAAGUAGAGAAGGCGCUUAAGCAUGUGUAUAAUAUGUCAUUAAACAAGCUCAAGGGAAAAGAGCUUGAGCUUCUUUUGGCCAUCCUCCCUGACAACAAUGGUUCUUUAUAUGGUGAGUGUCGGUUUGGUAAUUGCAUCGCAAUUUUUCCUUGGAAUCCUCAUAUUGUGUGAAAUGCUUAAGAUGUAACUUAAUAUUUGCAGGUGAUAUAAAACGUAUAUGUGAAACUGACUUGGGGUUGAUAUCACAAUGUUGCUUAACCAAACAUGUUUUCAAGAUCAGCAAGCAGUACCUGGCAAAUGUCUCACUUAAAAUCAAUGUUAAGGUACCAAAUACUUAUAAACCAAGCAGUUAAUACUUAGCUUGUCUACACAAAUGUAGUGUAAUGCAGUAAGCAGACUUGCAGCAUUGCUAAUGCCUUGCAUUUCGGAGUUGUGAUACAGAUGGGAGGAAGAAACACCGUGCUGCUGGAUGCAAUAAGUUGGAGGAUUCCUUUGGUCAGUGACAUACCAACUAUUAUAUUUGGUGCAGAUGUCACGCAUCCUGAAACCGGGGAGGACUCUAGCCCAUCCAUUGCUGCUGUAAGGCUGAGCAUUUCUAUGGUUACAUGGCCAUCAUUUUUUUUUUAACCUCUUACCCUCUCUAAUAAGCUGCAUGCAGGUUGUUGCAUCUCAAGACUGGCCAGAAGUUACAAAGUAUGCUGGAUUGGUGUGUGCUCAGGCUCAUCGGCAAGAGCUCAUUCAAGAUCUUUACAAGACAUGGCAUGAUCCUCAAAGAGGCACCGUAACAGGAGGCAUGAUCAGGUCUUUUUUGAGGAACAAUUUGUUCUUCCAACCAAAAUUAAUUGAUGAAGCCUCCUAUUAAAUAGUUUAGGGUUACCUCCUACCGAUUAACUUAUUUUUGGUUCUGGUCUUGUUGUGUAGGGAGCUCUUAAUAUCCUUCAGGAAGGCCACUGGGCAAAAGCCAUUGAGAAUAAUUUUCUACAGGUAUGCUACUGCAAAUACUGUUUAUAAACUAACGUUUGUAGAGUACAGUAGUUAGAUAUUUGUGGAAUCAAUUUAAUCCUAUGUAUCUUCAACAAGUACUGAACCUAGUGUUUUUGUUCGCUAUUUGAAGUAUGAAAGUUGCUGUUAUAGGCUUCUAUUUGUAUAUCUGCUAAUAGUAUCGGUACUGCUUCUCUUCUAGGGAUGGUGUCAGUGAAGGCCAAUUCUACCAAGUUCUCCUCUAUGAGUUGGAUGCUAUCCGCAAGGUUAGAUGCAUUUGUAUUUUCUUUACUCAGAUAUUUUGUCCACUUUAUUAGGUUGCCUGACGAAAUGUUUUCUUUUAGGCAUGUGCAUCUCUAGAACCAAAUUAUCAGCCUCCUGUAACAUUCGUGGUUGUCCAAAAGCGUCACCAUACAAGACUCUUCGCAAACAAUCACAAAGACAGAAGUAGCACGGACAAAAGUGGAAACAUUUUGCCUGGUAAUUACUAUUCAUCACCUCUUAAGGCAUUUCAUUGGAUCUACUGCAGAUGAUAAUGCAACCAACAUAUUGCAAAAAUAUUUUUUUUAUUUUAACUAAAACCCUCAGUUUGUUGGUAGAACUGUUUCAGUGAUUUGAUACUUGUUUUCCUAUUCAUGAUAUCACAUUCACAACUGUUUUUCUUGGAUUAUUAAGGUAUCACUUUGGGUGAACUAACUUUUAUAUUUACUGUUAUUCACUUGAUUUCUGUAAUUGCUCAUGUGUUUGCUAAAAAACAGGAACUGUUGUUGAUUCAAAGAUCUGCCACCCAUCAGAGUUUGAUUUCUACCUCUGUAGCCAUGCUGGAAUUCAGGUAAGAAUAUUGUAGUGGUCCUUUUGUAAGGCUGACAUAUACUGAACUUGUCGUUACUCUGGUCCCCAUGUCUUCUGUGAUUAAGUAUUUGAGGAGACUUCAUAUUGUCUUUUCAACCACAAGCAGUGUAGUACUUCCUCCGUCCCAAAAUGUAAGCAUUUUUGAGGUUGGUACGGGUAUUAAGAAAGUAGGUGAGAAUGAUUGAAGAAGGUGUGUGAUUGAUUGAAAAGAGAAAGUAGGUGAAAAAGAAUGAUUGUGAUUGGUUGAGAGGAGAAGGUAGGUAGAAAAAUAGCUUCAUUUUGAGACAAAUUACUGUGCUAGAAAUAGCUACAUUUUGAGACAGAGGUAGUAGUAUCACAGUAGCUAGUUACUGUAGUACCUAGCAAAGGGCACAUCUGCACAUGCUAGAACAAACAAACUUACUAUACCAUGGUCAAAUUUUUAAUCAUGUGAUUGUACAUUAUAGUACUUGGAUCAGCAAAUAUUCUGUCUGUAGUAGCGCUGGAAUAUAAUUCCCCAAGUUUGUCCUCCAUGUACUGAAAUGACUGAUGUGUGUGAGUUUUCCAGGGAACAAGUAGGCCAGCUCACUACCACGUCCUUUGGGAUGAGAACAAUUUCACUGCAGACGAAAUGCAGACAUUGACAAACAACCUUUGCUACACGUACGGCAUUACUGAAUCUUGUUAAGUUUAUCCUUUGCACUCUGAGCUUCUCUCUAUAGAAAUUGUCUGACUUGGUACAUUUGCUGAUGCAGUUAUGCACGGUGCACACGCUCUGUUUCUGUUGGUACGUUCUUCUGAAAUGAUCUGAACAUUUUUCCAUCAUUUUCUUUGUAUUCAUGUGUUAUUAUUAGUUGGACACGAAUUCUGAAGGUGAAUCUUGCAUUUCUUUUUUCCUGGUCCAACAGUUCCACCUGCAUACUAUGCGCAUCUGGCUGCGUUUCGAGCGCGGUUCUACAUGGAGCCAGAGAUGUCGGAGAACCAGACGACGUCGAAGAGCUCCACUGGGACGAACGGAACCUCGGUGAAGCCAUUGCCUGCGGUGAAGGAGAAGGUGAAGAGGGUGAUGUUCUACUGUUGAUGACUGGGAGACUACCUUUAACUACUCACAUAUGAUGUACCUAACAUUGUAGAAUUUUAGUGGUAGGGAUUUAGAAUUAGCUUCCUUCAGGAAAGGGAGCAGAGCAAGCAUUUGGAUCCUGAGCGACCUCUUUUGACCACUCUGUAAAGUACUAAGUAACGCAUGUAUAAUAGUUGUUGUAUCAGUCUGAAAAAAAGGAAGUGCACUCAGUGCUUGUUUUUCCAGUUCUAGGAUGAUUUUCUCUUCAUGGUUAAGAUCUGGUAAGAGACUCAAUACACGAAUCCAUUAUCAGGAUAACACCAACAAUUUUCACUUAUAGAACAUAUUCGAAAAUUUCUGAGAAUAGGCUAAUAAUUCUCAAAAUAAAAAUAAAAAUAACCUGCAGGAUGAGCAUCAUUCGUUGCUGCCAUUAAGGACAGUAACUAAGGAUAUAAUGCUGAAUAUACGAAUCUAGUUAAGACGGCCUGAAGCAGGUCCACAGAACCCGACUUAAAAUCAUUGUUAGUUCAGAUUCCGGGCCACAUUGUAUUUUUACUGUGACUUGCAGAUGAACCUUCUUCCAUAAAUAAAUAUUGCAUUCACUUCAAAGUGAUGUUUUAUGUGUUAGUGAGUUUUGAGUGGAUAUGCUGAAUACAUCAACAAGAGCAAACUGAAAAUCCAAGUAUAGCAUUUUUAACAAGCUGACAAAUGACAGAAUCAUGCUGCGAUGAUAAUGUUCGUCCAUCCAUUGUUAAGAAGUUAUGGUUGCACAUUAGAUAUAAUCAUCUGCACUGAUAGGCAUAGGCAACAACAGAAAAAAAAAUACUACUGGCAUUGGUGUCUAACCUUGUUUUUUCAUCUGCAGAACCGUGUUCCAUUUCCUGGCAAGAGUAAAAAAAAUCCAGCUCUGCUACAAGCCUGAAACAAGCUAGCUGAAGUUCAGUAGUCCUCAAAUUAACUAACUGUACAAGCCUGAUCACUCGAAUGUCUGUUCAGACAAGGUUCUUCAAAAUUGCUAAUGAAACGGCUUCCAGUGAUUGAUCAUGCUUCUGUUGGUCCAGUCAAACUAAUGGAUGCUUCAACAAUUCCUUUGUCCAAGCAUUAUAUGCUUCAACAACUCCUCAGUACCCCUUCACCUCAAUCAAGCUACACCCUGCAUUCUUCUUGACAGUAGGGUGUGCCAUCUUGCCCCGUACCCUUAUCACAUCCUCCCAUCUACUUGCUGUUGCAUAUACAUUAGACAUGAGCAAAUUCACAUCAGUAAUUUGGGAAUCUUGCUCACAGAUUCGUUUGGUUAACCGUUCACUCAUCUCAACAUUCCCAUGAGCCUUGCAAGCAGUGAGGAGUGCACCAAACAGUGGCAUAGCAUCCUUGUUAAUUGGAACGUCACCGAUCAACCUCUCAGCUUCAUCUAGUAGACCAGCACGACCUAGGAGGUUCACAAGGCAGCUAUAGUGUUCAACUCUUGGUUCUAUCUGAUAAACCUCCCUCAUUGCAUGGAACUGCUUCCGGCCUUCAUCAACCAAGCCACCAUGGCAGCAUGCACUUAGCACCCCAAUAAACGUAACACCGUCGGGCUUAACUUUACUUCUCUGCAUAUCUUGAAACAGUUCAAGAGCUCUACCAGCCUGACCAUUUGUGGCCAGCCCACAGAUGAUGGCAGUCCAAGCUGUGGCAUCUCUGCCUUGCAUUCGCCAGAAGACCUCUAGAGACUUCUCAAUGUGCCCACAUUUAGAAUACAUGUCAAUCAAUGCGGUGCCUAGGACUGCAUCGAUCUUCAUUUUCCUUUGUUCAGCAUACUGGUGAAUCCAUUCACCUUGAUCAAGAGCGCCAAGAUUGGCACAGCAUGUCAGGAGAGUGACAACAGUGAACCUGUCUGGCUCAACCCGUUGCAUCUGCAUAUCUCGGAACAAUGUCAGCGCCUCCUCGAAGCAUCCGUGUUGCACACACGCAUUGAUCAUUGCAGUCCACAGAAUUAGAUCCUUCUCUUUGCACUGGUUGAAGAGCACUCUGGCCUUGUCCAGCUGCCCAGCAAGGCCAUAUCCCGACACAAGUAUGGUCCAAGAAAUUAUGUUCCUCGCAGGCAUUUGCUCGAACAAUUUCACCGCCUCUUCCAAGCAAUCAUUCUUCGUGUACAUGUCCAGCAGAGCAUUUGCAACUGGCAGAUUGAAACCGAAGACGUUAUCCAUGUACACAUGAAUCCUCCUUCCCAAGCUCAGGUCCCUUGCUCUAGAGCACGCCGUCACCGCCGUCACCAACGUCACCCUGUCAGGUGUGACACCGCUUCUCUCCAUCUGUUCAGACAAAGCAACUGCCGCCGAGUACCACCCGCACCUGAUGUAGCACCUGACCAUCAUGUUCCACAGCACCAGCGCCCUACUCGGCAUUUCGUCGAACACCUUCCGCGCGAUGUCCACGCGCCCCAGCAUCGUGUACAUCUCCAUCAGCGAGCUCCCGGUGUAGGCGUCCCACCGGAACCCGGUCUUGACAGCGGCCGCGUGCGCCUUGCGCCCCUCGACCGACAGCUUGAGGACCCCGACGGCCCUGAGCACGAACGGGUAGGUGAAGCUGUCCGCCACGAGUCCCCGCGCGCGGAGGUCGUAGUACACCGCCAUGACGCGCGCGAAGCUCCCCCGCCUCGCCAGCGUCCUGAUCAGCACGUUGCACUCCCAGAGCGGCAUCCCGUGGCCCCUCCUCGCCGCCGCCAUUGCCAUCGCGCGGGGUGGGUGGCGGCGACGCGACGCGGCCAAGACGUGGGGGGGGAAUCUUUUCCUAUAUAGAGAGCGGAAAGUCACAGCCUCACGGGAGAGAAGGGUAGGUGUUUGUGUGUGUGCCUCUCUCUCGAGUCUCGAGAUGGUGGGGAAGCGAGUGGCGGUGGUGGUGGGAGGGAGCGUGGCGGGGCUGGCAUGCGCGCACGCGGUGGCGGAGGCGGGGUGGGAGGCGGUGGUGGUGGAGAAGGCGGCGGCGCCGGGGGCCGGGAGCGGCACGGGCGCCGGGCUGGGGCUCGACGCGCAGUCCAUGGAGACGCUCGCCCGCUGGAUCCCCGGGCGCCUCGACGCCGCCACGCUGCCGCUCGCCGUCGACCUGGUAAGCUAAGCUCCCCCCUGUAAAUCCGCCGGCCUCCUCCUCCUCCCUUCCCCUUGCCUUGACCCACCCGUGAGCGCGGCGCGCGCGCAGAACAGGGCGACGGACGGCGAGACGAAGGCGGGGAGGACGCUGACGAGGGACGAGGGGUUCGGCUUCAGGGCGGCGCACUGGGGCGACCUGCACCGGCGGCUGCACGAGGCGCUGCCGGCCGGCGUGACCGUGCUCUGGGGCCACCAGUUCGUGUCGUUCGAGAUGGCGCCGGAAGGGGACGGAGAUGGCGGGGUCGUGGUGACGGCCCGCGUGCUGCGCACCGGGGAGACGGUGGAGGUCGCCGGGGAUUUGCUCGUCGCGGCGGAUGGCUGCACGUCGGCGAUCCGCCGGCGAUUCCUCCCCGAACUCAAGCUGAGGUCAGCCAGAGGUUCUAGACUACUGAAUUGUUUACUGGUAGUAGUAUUAUUGUUUAGUCGCAUGAUUUUUUUUUUCAAUUUAGCUGCUCCCUCCGAUUUUGAAUAACACUCGCACCUUCUCCACCUCCUCGAGUUGGGUACUACUACUAAUUAUCGUGCCAUAUAAUUUUCUUACAACUCUAAUUGGGAAUAUAAAAAUAUGAAACAUACUUAGCAGAGUGAAUCCAAGCCCGGCCUGAGACCCACGUGCCCACGCUCGACUCACGCCGCAAAGUCUAUUGGACAAAACCCCAUGUCGGCAUGCCCGAUGGGUUCGCGUUGCCAGCCACCUCCUAGUCCCGUGUGCUGCCACGUCGCUAGCCAUCACCGCACCGCCAGCCGUCGCUUGCGCCCUUGCACCUCCACGUCAUGUGGCCAAGCUCCCUUCCCGUGCACCACCGCCGCCGCCUAGUGUAGACACUGGAGAAGAGUAGAAGACUGAGGGAGUGAGAGAUAGCAGUGAGGAGUAUAAGGUUUGUGAUUUGGGGAUUUCUAUGCUAGGGUUUCAUUUAGUGAAUAUAUAUAUUGCAUACAAAGGGGUCAAAUGGACUAUUAGGCCAUGUGAGGAGAUAAAACUAUUUAAGGCCUGAAAAAUAUAUAUGGGCUAAAAAAUUUUCAGGUCGGGCAUGGUUUACCCACAGGAAAAACCCGCGCGCGCCUACUAAGUUCGCGGGUAUCGGAUCGGGCGUGCCCACAGGCAAAAAAAAAAAAAGUUAUCCGCGGAUACCCAAACCUAUGAGCAAUACUGCCAUUCCUAAGAUUUUGGGUGUGUUUGAGAGAAGAGAUUUUUUUAAAAAAGUAUAUAAAAUGGGAUGAGCCAUUAUCAUAUGAUUAAUUAAGUAUUAAUUUUUUAAAACUUAAAAAAUAGGUUAAUAUAUUUUUUUUUAAAAAAUAACUUUUUAAAAUUAUCUUUUUUAAAAAAACGUAUGAUUUAGUGGUUCGGAAAACGUAACGAGGGAUUUCUUCUCUCUUUCAUCCUAAGGAACAGCCUUAGUGAUAUUAAGGAUUUACGAUUGCCUUUCAUCUCUUUCAACGUGUGUUUUCGGGCGCAUUCGUGGACGAUAGUGUGGUGCAUGAGUCGUGAUGGUGUGUGCGUGUGUUUUUCUUCCAUUAAUGAAAGGAAAAUAUUAGCUGAGUUUUUCAGUAUUUCAAUAUAAUAUCAUGUCAAAAUGGGCAAACUUAGCUAAGAUUGUUUUCGAUUUUCUGAUUAUUUUUCAAUAAUGUAGGUACUCUGGAUACUGUGCAUGGCGUGGCGUCUUCGAUUUCUCCGGGAAGGAGGGGUGCACCACCAUGGUCGACAUCCGGAGGGCCUACCCAGAGCUCGGCAACUGCCUCUACUUCGACCUGGCAUACAAGACGCACGCUGUGCUCUACGAGCUGCCCAAGAACCGGCUCAACUGGCUCUGGUACAUCAAUGGCGAUGAACCAGAGCUCAUGGUAAUUGUCAAUCGAUGAGAAAUAAAUCAGUGUGUUUAUCCCUCCUUUUCCGAUGUGAUUUGGUUCCGUUUGGUGUUGCAGGGGAGCUCGGUGACGAUGAAGGUGAACGAGGCCACGGUGAGCGAGAUGAAGGAGGAAGCCGAGCGCGUGUGGUGCCCCGAGCUGGCGCGGCUGAUCGGCGAGACGGCGGAGCCGUUCGUGAACGUGAUCUACGACGCCGAGCCGCUGCCCGGGCUGUCGUGGGCGGGAGGGCGGGUGGCGCUGGUCGGCGACGCGGCGCACCCGACCACCCCGCACGGGCUGAGGAGCACCAACAUGUCCAUCCUCGACGCCCGCGUGCUCGGCUGCUGCCUCGCGAGGUGGGGCGGCGAUGGCAACGCCGAGCCGACGUCGACGCCGCGGCGGGCGCUGGCCGAGUACGAGGCAGCGCGGCGGCCGGUCGUGGCGGCGCAGGUGCUGCACGCGCGCAGGCUCGGACGGCUCAAGCAGGGCCUGGGCAUGGGCAGCGCCGGGGACGGGGAGGGGUUCGACGCGAGGACGGCGACGGAGGAGGAGAUUUCGCAGCUGCGGCAGAGCAGCAUGCCGUAUUUCAGUGGCGCGCCAACCAUUGAGUGAUCUAAUAAAUGUAUUUUUGUGAAUUUUUAUAUAAAGAAAGAAAUGGCUAUCUCUAUCAUAGGUUUUCUUUACCGAAAUUUCAAAUUUUUAGCUCCUGCCCUGUUUGGAAUAAAUGAAAUCUGUACUAUUUUCAAUAAGAAGUUUGUUGUAAAUUUCACCAAAAACCGUUAAUUUAAUUUUAUUUUUCUUCUCAUAGGAACCGUUCAUUUCCGAAAAUGCUCAGGCCCGGGCAACCGGCGGGAGGUGGAGCAGGAUCAUGCGCACGUUCCCCUGGCCCCACCACAUGUCUCAAGAAAAUGUUUCACCCAGUGUACUCACAAUGUUUUACUAUAUAUAGAUCUGAUAUUAAAAUAUUCUUUUACAACAAAUUACCCACAUAUUUUGGAAACCCUUUAUUAAGGGAAUUCGUUUCAUUUUUUAUUUGCAGUGGCAUAUGUAUAGAUCUAAUGUUAUAGUGAACUGAAACAUUCUUUCGCUAUUUGCUGAAACAUUGUUUUUAUAUAAGGUGAAACAACGCCCGAUUUAAACGAAUGAAAUAUUUUCGAUCUACUUAGUGAAACAAUUCCGAUAUACUUGGUAGAGCAUCGUGCAACUGUCAACGUUUGAUGUCUCGACUACGGUAUUUGGACAGUAUGGGGAUCGUCGGUGCUAGGGUAUACGCGAGACUGAGGUAAAAGAGAUGGAGACGAUGAUUUUUAUACAGGUUCGGGCCCCUGAGCUAUCAGGUAAUAGCCCUACAUCCUGUUGGCCGGAGCCAAUGUUGCUUUUUAUUCACCAUAAUCACACCAGUACAAUAUGUGGGGUGGCCUAUCUAACUGUUGUCGACAUGGCGGUCUGAAGGUCUGACUCGUAGUCGACAACAGGGUAGCCUUCCUCCUCGAGCUCGCGCCCGACGGAAUCAGAGACAGUGCUAGAUCCCUACGGCCGGCCUCUGAAGGUACCGGAUAGGGUCGAUCCAGGCGUAUCUCUGAUGUCGAUAUCCGGCGGCUUGUCUUGGCGUAUGUAGGCUUCUAUGUUGAUUGUGUUGGGAGUUGAUUGUCUCGUGGUGGGUGUUGAUCGUCUCAUGGUGGGGGUCGAUCGUGUUGAUCGUGUUGAUCCUCCAUGGUGGGUGUGUGUCCCCCUGUCCUCCUAGGGGGCUUAUAUUUAUAUCCAUAGGUGUCCCCUUGUCCAAGUAGAACUAGGGAAACCAAUAUGAAUACAAUCCGAGUAGUCCUUGUCGUUUCCAUAUAGAACUCUGGUUGUCUUUCCUUAUCCGGAACUCCCUCCUAUAUCCGUAGGCUGUUUCCGUAUAGGACAUGGUAUGUGGUGGGUCCUGCCGAGAUUUAGUCAACUACUAUUAGGUAUGUGGUAUCCAUAACCCUGACAGUAGCCCCCGACUUCAAUGCAAAUGAACGAAUUCAUAUUCUCAAUUGCGCGCAGACUUUGGAGUAACUAUUAUCGAGCUCAUGUGAACGUUUUCGGUGAGUUCAGAUAUAACGUUAGACUUCCUUUGUCAGCUUCGUGCGGGCACCGAAAGGGUUUGUCUAAGUCAAUCUUUGAUGUUGACCGAGAAAGUACAGAGCGUACGACUAAGUUUCCCGUCUUGCUGUAAUCGAGAAUUUGGAUUAAAGUCAAGAAAUUUUAUCUCGGCGGGUACAUCAUUUCUUCAUUCCGCAUUCCUUGUCGAGAUCCAGCAAUCGUUCUCGAGCGAUCGAGAAGGCGUAGAGUCUGCGACAGAGCCUUGUCAACAUUGGUCGUACUCGCCUUAGUCGAUCUUGGUGUAGAACCAUAGAGACAUGGAGCCUUCGUCAAUGUCGAAUAUAAUUUUCCUGAAAUCAAUACUCAGAAAAGAAUAUUAGAUAGAAAUAGCCCCCAAGCGAAUGCUCAAAGGGUGACAUAUUAUAAUAUGACAGACUAAUGAAUUGAAUGUACAGACCAGUGUUUUGUAUAUGAGUGUCUUCUCUCUUACCGACUCCGAUCAGUCAGUUUGUAGAGUCAUACACUCUCCCUAGCCCCCAGCCUUGUCAUCGGAGAAUCAUUCUCGGAGGAUAAGGCUCUUGGACCCUUGACCUGCCUUGGUUGAAUAAGCACUGAUCCUAGCCCCCAGCCGUAAAGUUGGAAAAGUCAAUUUCCGAUUACACGGCUUAGUUAAUACGCACGGCGAGAACUCUUACACGACCAGAUCUUACAUGGUCUUUUGUCAUUACAGAUCUUACAUGGGCCUCCACUUACAUGGCACUCCAGCAACCGUUGGAUCUCUCCUCCCUUUCCCUUCCUUAUCUGGCUACAUUCCCAAAUUCUUGUCCCAUCGACCUAGCCGAAACCUCCCCUCUCCCCCUCCACAGCUUCCUCUGCCUCCUUGCCCUCGUCGGCGCCGCCUGCGGUGAGGCUCCACGCCUCCAUCUCGGCCGUGUCCGUUAGUUCUCUUUUUCCCUACCUCCGCGAGUUCAGCUGUUCGCCGUAGCUCCCCCUGCUACGUCCCGAGCUCCGCCGCCUCCGAUUAAACUGUUUGCGCCAUCUGGCGGCGGCCAGCAGAGUCCUCCCUCAGCUCCGCGGGUUUAGAUUACUGCGCAUUGAUAUGUGGACUUCUCUGCUUGCUUCCUGAGGUUAGUUAUGUAUAAUUUUUCCCUAAUGAUUGAAAAAUCUUUGGGACGAAAAUUUCCAAAAUUUGGCCGAAAAUUCCAAUAUGAUAUUUGGAAGUUUUGACCAAAAUUUUGGAAGUUUUCGUUCAGGGGUAUUUCUGUCAUUAUGAUAAAAAUCUAACGGAGGCUAACUAGACAAUGAUGGUAUAUUAUAGAAGUUAAGAAAAUUGUGAUGACAUAUGAGAAUUUGACAAACCCAGUGACAUAUUGUAGAACAUGGAUAAAAUCAGUGACACAUAAUGGAUUCUUUCUAUUUGUUCCCUUAACUACCUAUCUACUAUGGUGCGACAUGUUUAGAAAAAGUUAAAUCUUAUACUAUAAUUCCAUUUCUUACACAUUAAAUUAUAUAUACUUAUAAUAUAAUUUUCAAAUUAUAUAGUGCACUAUUCACAUUUUAUAUGAGAAAUAUGGAAAAGUGAUUUAUUAUCUAUUUAAUUAUGAGAGAAAAAUAUUAGUCCAAAUUAACAUAAACAUAUAGAAAAUAAAAAAACAACAAAAGAAUUACGGAAUUACUCCGCACACUAACUCUCUCUCCCUCCAUUUUCUUUUUCCCUCUAACAGUUAGUGAUCGCUAGAUCCAGCAAUAAACAACCCAGAUCUAGCAUCUCCGUUUUUUGUAAGGUUGGUUCAUGCCUCCCUAAGUCUUUGCAAGCCCAACAAUCCCAACCUCAACGACGACGAUGACAAUAGUGUGCAUGGCGAUAGGGGAGGAGAAAAGACAUGGCUAUAACUAUAGGGUGCAGCUACGCAUGCAAAGGCGGAGAGGAGAAACGGUGGUGGCUCAUAGAGAAAGAGCGCUGGUGGUGGUGCGUGGAGCUGUAGUUAGUGGUCGCGGGUGGUCUGAGAAGUUUGUUGUCGACACAAUCUCUAACUGAGUUUGUUAAUGUUUUUCUGAUAUAUGGGCCACCAGUCAUCAUAAAAAAUAGCAUAGUAAGGCCCUGUUUAGAUACCUGGCAAAAUUUUACGCCCUAUCAUAUCGAAUGUUUGGACAUAUGUAUGGAGCAUUAAAUAUAGAAAAAACUAAUUAUACAGAUUACAUGUAAAUUGCGAGACGAAUCUUCUAAGCCUAAUUGUGUCAUGAUUUGACAAUAUGGUGCUACAGUAAACAUUUGCUAAUGACAGAUUAAUUAGGCUUAAUAAAUUCGUCUCGCGGUUUACAGGUGGAUUCUAUAAUUUGUUUUAUUAUUAGACUGUGUUUAAUACUUUAAAUGUGUGUCCGUAUAUCCGAUGUAAUACGCCAAAACUUUACAUCUGGAUCUAAACACAGCCUAAAAAUAUUGAGAUAUACGUGGAAUAUCAGUAUAUGCCACUCAAUUCGCGGCCCUAUGAUCCAAUUCGUGUGUAACUUUGGAACCUGCCACGGGAGAGCGAAUUCCUUCGUUUCACUCCAUCCAUCCGUCUGCCCAUCCGUUUUACGCUCGUCCGCGACCGCCGCCGCCGCCGCCACCUCUACCACCGUACCCGAGCUCGUCCGCCGCCGUCUCCAUUAGCGUCGUCCACCAGCUCGGCCGCCGUCCCCGAGCUCGCGUCGUCCUGGUGAGCCUCUUUCUGAUUCAUCUCUCUCUCUCCCACCCCACCGGGACAAUUUCUGUCUGCAAUUUGCUCACGUUCGUUCGUUAACCCUAGCUUCUCUUCUAGAUCUGGAAGAAGCUAUUUCAGAGCCUUAACCUUAAUACAAGUAACAGUUUAUUGUUUGUUUCCCCCAAAAUUUGGGGGUUCCCAAGUUGGAUCCGCCCCCUGCUUCGUCGCAAGAGAAAUUCUCCUUUUCAUUUGAGUUUGUAGAGCUUUUCAAUGGAGUAUACAUCAAGUGAGGAUGAUGAGCUGGUUGAAGGUUACAUGGAUGUUGAGGAUGAUACAGGCACCAGCAAUACUGAUCAAGGAACAGGUCUGAUGCCUUCUGAGAUGCGUAGCAUCCUUCCCCGUCCGUCGUCUGUUGGCAACGGUCGGCUGAUGGCUGCUGAUGGGUUGGGCACAAACGAUGACCCAUGCCUAGGCAUGGAGUUUGAGUCCGAUGGAGCUGCACGGGCAUUCUACAAUGCGUAUGCGCUGCGCCUUGGGUUCGGCAUCCGCGUCGCCCGGUCGCGCAGCGAGCGGAGGAAGGGUGUUGAGCUACUUAUCAUGAAGCGUUUUGUGUGCCUGAAAGAGGGACAUCACAAGAAGAAGGAUGCCGAGCCUAGCGACAAGAAAAAGAGGAAGCGGCUCUCGAUAAGGGAUGGCUGUCCAGCGAUGAUGGAAGUGGUGAGGAGGGGUCCGGAAAAAUGGGUCAUCACAAAGUUGGUCCUGGAGCAUACUCAUGUGAUUCUUAGCCCAGACAGGGUGCGGGAGGUCCAGCUCCGUCGCCUCUCUGGAAAGUGCGCAGAGCAUGAUAAUCAAUUGCAGGAGCUGCGCCGGAAUGUGUUUGGAGAUACAGAUGCGCAAGGCCUUUUCAACUACUUGAAGAGAAUGCAGUCGGAGAACUCUGGUUUUUUCUACUCCAUACAAGUUGACAGUAAGAACUGUGUUAGCAAUGCAGUUUGGGCUGAUGCUAGAGCCAGAAUGUCAUACACAUACUUUGGGGAUGCUGUUUAUUUUGACACUACUUAUAGUAAAAAUGAGAAUAUGUUACCCUUUGCAGCUUUCACGGGUGUGAAUCACCAUGGUGAUACUGUUCCUUUUGGUUGUGCACUUGUUUUGGAUAGGACAGAAUCUUCAUAUACCUGGCUAUUUGAGACAUGGCUGACAGCAGUGGGUAGACGGUUGCCGUUUUCCUUUACAACUGAUGAAGGCAAAGCAAUUGCAUCAGCAGUUGCAAAAGUAUUUCCUCAGUGUUUCCAUCGUCUUUGUAGAUGGCGAAUUUUGUCUAGAUGCAAGAAGAAGUUGUCUGACGACUACGUGAGAUUUCCCAAUCUCCAUGAUGAGCUCAGAAGAUGCAUCAACGAGUGUUAUACUGAGGUUGCUUUUGAUAUGUUCUGGGGUACUAUUCUUGACAAAUAUGGCCUGAGGGAGAACAGUUGGUUGCGAUCAAUAUUUGAAGCAAGACACAGAUGGGUUCCUGCAUACCUGACAACAAGCUCCUUCUUUGCAGAAUUGACAUUGACCCAGAGAGGAGAAACAAUCGGUAGGUUUUUUAGGAAUAACUUCAGCACAAGAGUUCCUCUCGAUGAAUUUACCACUAAAUUUGACCAACACAUAGACAAUUUGUAUGUACAUGAAACUCAGAAAGAUCUUGGUUCAUCUCAUCCGGAACAGAUCCUGAAAACCAAUAUAGCCUUGGAAAAACAAGCAAGGAGCAUCUACACCAAUGCCGUGUUUGAAAUAUUCCAAACGGAGUUGUUUGAAGCAUUGCAGCAUUAUGCUGUUAAGGUUCAUCAGGAUGGACCUUACUCCAAGUACUAUGUUGACAGAGAUGAUCCUCCAACAAGGCACACUGUUUUCUACAAUGUUGCCGAGAAGAAGGCUUGGUGCGAUUGCUGCAGGUACGCUUUCUCAGCAAUAUUGUGCAGGCAUGUGCUUGGAGUUUUCAUCUUAGCUGGAAUCAUGGUGCUUCCGGAGACAUGCAUCGCGAAGCGAUGGACAAAGAGGGCAAAGACUGGGCCAGAAUUAAUUGGGCAUAAUCUUGAGAAUGGAAAUUGCUACAUGGAUUCUUCAACUUCAAGGUAUAAUGAUCUCAUUCAUGAUGCUAUCAAAUGUGCAGAGAAGGGAGCUGUAUCAGCAGAUAACUUCAGAGUUGCAAAGGAAAUACUCCGCAAAGCCUUCAUGGAAAUCAAGUGUCUUGGAGAAAAACUGACUGACGAUGACCUGCAGCAGGUUGACAGUAGAUAGCAGUGGUUAUCUUGUGAAGCAUUUGAGAGAUUGUUCCAGAUAUCUUUUACUAAAGGAUGGAAAUGAGGCGUAAUUUUGCUGUGCCACCAUGAGUAAAAGCAUUUGAGAGAUUGUUCCAGGUAUCUUUUAUUAAAGGAUGGAAAUGAGAUGUAAUUUUGCUGUGCCACCAUGGGCAAGCCUACCCUGUACUGACAAUGACCAAUUAACAUAUUUAACCACUGUAAAUCUAAUCCUGAUGUAUGCUGUUAGCCUGUCUGUAGAAUGCUAAUCUGACUUGUGGGAGUCAGGACUGUAAAUGUUGACUCGUUUGCCUGUGUUCCUCUUGCUGCUAUUCAUGUCAUGAUAUCACAACUCACAAAAAGUUAUGUUGGACUCGCCAUGCUUGUAGGGUUUUUUCUUCAUAAAAAGAGUUACAGACAUCGUUUCUUGUUUAUUUUGAAAAUUGAUCCAUUUGGAGUAAGCCUUUGUUGUUAAAUAUACAAAGUUUAUUGCGUUCUUUAAUGAGAAUUCGAAAUUCGGAUGAAUUCCUUCAUGCAAAAUCUUGACAUAAACCAACACAUUAGACCUUUCGUCUUGUUUGUUCGUAAUAAGCUUUCUGGUAGUAUCUGCUACCUUCCGAUUCUAUGGCUACAAAACAAAAUUUACAAAGCCCCUAUCAUGUUUAAACACGACAAAAAGAAAAUCUCCUGGCUCAAAUUUUAACACGCCGCAGAAUUCACGAAAAUUCAAAAACCAAUAAAAAAUCGCAAAAAUCCAACGGGAAAAAGGAGACGCAGGAGGAAAGGGAGAGAGAGAGAGAACAAACGGCAUCAAUGGCGGCCACAUCCCUCCUCUCCCGCCUCCUCAUCCUCCCACCACCGGCGCCGGCCGCCGCCGCCUCUCUCCGGCAGCGGAAACCCGCCGCAGCGCACUCCCUAUCCUCCAGGGGGCGGAGGCCCCGCCUCGCGGUACAGGCGGUAGCCCCCGCGGCGGCGGAGGAGGAGAAGGGCGGGCUGCCGGCGGCGGAGGCGGAGAGGCUGGCGGAGUUCCUGCGGGAGGACCUCCCCCACCUGUUCGACGACGUCGGCGUCGACCGCUCGGCGUACGACGACCGCGUCCGCUUCCGCGACCCCAUCACCCGCCACGACACCAUCGACGGCUACCUCCUCAACAUCCGCCUCCUCAAGCUCCUCUUCCGUCCCGACUUCUACCUCCACCACGUCGAGCAGGUUGAGCUGCUACCCCGCACUGCAUUUCCCAAUUUCAAUCGUAACAGAUUUGCAGCGCAUUUUGCGAAGAACUCGUGACUGGAUGGGUGGUGGGGUUUUUAGACAGGGCCGUACGAGAUCACCACGAGGUGGACCAUGGUGAUGAAGUUCGUUCUACUGCCGUGGAAGCCGGAGCUGGUCUUCACUGGCCUCUCGAUCAUGGGCGUCAACCCUCAGAAUCUCAAGUUCUGUAGCCACGUGGUUAGCAUUCUUGCUUGACACUGCAGCUUUUGGAACAUUUGUUUCUUCGAAUUAAUGUACGUUAAGAUUUUCUUUUAUUGUUCAUGAAAUGAAUUAGUGGUAUUUUAAUCCCCUGAAUCAUAUGUAUGGAUCACGUCUUACAGAGUCUACUAUAUGUUAGAACCAUAGGUCUCCUGCUUGCGACAUUCGAGACCUCUGAGAUGAAGCAUAUAUAUUAAGCAUAUGCAGCUUAGAAGUUAAAGUCUUAAAAGAGUACGGUUUCUUUUAUCAAGAGCAUUAGUAAGCAGUCAGUCUGGAGUAAGAUUUCGAGAGAUGAGAUCAGGGAGUUCCUGACAAAGCUUUCAGACAAGCUUUAGUUGCAUACUUAUGUUUAGCUAUGUCAAAUAACUUUUUAUUGUUGCAAUUCUCCACCGGAUACAGUUCCUCCUAUAAUGCAAUGCUUCAUAGUCCUAAUUCAAUUUGAUACUAAAUUUUAGCUUUUCAGGAAGCUUGUGGGACUAUUUAUUGAUGGGCCGGCAAAACAAUACUUAGCUUCCAUAGUCCACACUUGAUAAAGUUUACAAUACUCUUAAUAAUUGCACUUGCUGUGAUGUGCCGUAGAGUUCCUGGUUCUUACUUAUUUGUUUUUUUCCCCCCGUUUAGUGUGCAUUUUUGUAAAUAGAAGAUUAAGGAUACUAUGCUUCCCAGCAGAGUGUUGGAGAGAUUUUGUACAUACAGAGAACUCCAACACACUAAAUAAGUUUACCCAAGUAAUCAUUAAAUAUUAUUAUAACUUCCCAAUAUGCUGAAGUGCAGGAUAUUUGGGACUCAAUACAGAAUAAUGAAUAUUUUUCUUUUGAAGGACUGGGGGAUGUCUUCAAGCAGGUCAUUUGUCAUGACUCUACAUUUUUCUUAUAAUUUGUCAAACAAAUGUUUGAGCUAGAUCUUUUGAUUCUGCACAGCUACGGAUUUACAAGACCCCUGAUAUAGAAACACCAAAGUACCUUAUCCUGAAAAGGACGGCAAACUAUGAGGUAUUAACUUUAGGAAUUCAUUUUAUAUCUGUUCUGAAGUAACAGCACUGCCAUAUUCUCAUGAUCCAUGCUUCAUAUGAAUUAACCAUACUGAUAAGUAUCCGAAUUAUUUUACUUGAUUUUUGCCAGUGUAUAAUCUUUGCUAAUGUGAUCUCUAUAGUAGUCAGAACUCAGAACAUCUAAUUUAUAGCUGUUACUUCUCUGCAGAAUGUUUAAGAUGAAAUCAUGAACAUAAAUUCUUUUUUGCAGAUUAGGAGUUAUCCACCAUUCUUAAUAGUUGAAGCAAAAGGAGAUAAACUAACCGGAUCAUCAGGUUUUAAUAAUGUAACUGGGUGAGUUAUUUUUCUGUUACAGUAGAUAUUUAACCCUGUAAUCCUAGUACUGAUUACUUAUAAGCGCUUGUAAAUGUAGGUAUAUUUUUGGCAAGAAUGCUUCUUCAGAAACGAUUGCAAUGACUACACCUGUCUUCACUCAGGCUUCUGAUGACAAACUCUCAGAUGUAUCCAUCCAGAUAGUUUUGCCGAUGAACAAAGACUUGGACAGGUCUAUCUUGUGCAAUGCAGGAUUUCAGUUACUGACAGUGCGGUUUAAAGCAUUGAUUUUGGACAGCUGUGCAAAAUUAAACUAAAAGUAGUCUUAUGGAUUUAUUUCUAUUACUAAUAGUAGUAAUCUUGUUCAAUCAGCUUACCAGCUCCAAACACGGAAGCUGUCAACUUGCGAAAGGUAGAAGGUGGCAUUGCUGCAGUGAAAAAAUUCAGUGGGAGACCAAAAGAGGAAAUUGUGAUCCAGAAAGAAAAGGAGCUGCGCUCCCAAUUACUCAAAGAUGUGUUGAAGCCUCAACAUGGUUGUUUGCUUGCACGCUACAAUGAUCCUAGAACACAGAGCUUUAUAAUGGUAUGUUUCCUUUUGGGCUGUCCCUUAUUGUUUAAGCUGACAUGUGAUUUUUUUGAUGUACUUCACUAUAAUGAUCCUAAGACUAACUAAUGAGGUUUAUUUUAUGAUUAAGUGUUGGAAAGUUGAUAUUUUAUCAUCAUGCUUCCUUUCCCAAAAUUCCAGUUCAUUCUUUUUUCAGUUUUACAUUUCCAGUUCCUUUUUUUCAGUUUUACAUUCAUUGUUAUCUUUUUUAAUUCGGAAACUCUCUUAUGUUCUUCCUUAUCAAAAGAGGAAUGAGGUGCUGAUAUGGUUAAACGACUUCACGCUGGAGUAGUAGUCUUCACUGUCUACAACACAUUUCUGCAACAUAUAGACACUUAGCAUUGGAGCUUUCGGAGCAUCAUAGCAAGGUAAAGUAAUUGUUCAUAAAGCAUUUUGCGUGGUUUGGUAGUAUUUUAAAGCUGCAUGUUAUUUCCUCUAAAAAAGCUUUGUAUUCUACAUGUAAAAAAAAUGUAGAAACAAUUUAUGUAUCUAAAUGUAUCGUGCAACUUAGUUAUUCCCAUAGAUCCGUCAUGCCUUUUGUCAUCCAUGUUUUAAUUUUUUGCAUUAUGCUCACUUAGCUUUUGCAUUAUGCAGGUGAAAAAAAUUAGGAAGAUGCAUGGAUGAAAUGAUAGGAGAAUGUAAAUACCGAAAAGGUCACUAUAUUACAUGGUAAUUCUAGUCCAUAUGAAAAAUGUUUGUGUAUAACAAAAGUGAAAUGAACAAAAUGAAACUGUUUAGAACAAAAGGAAUAACCCCCACCUAGCCACCCUCAUUCCCAGUGACAUGCCUGGCUGUAACACGUCUCUUCUGUCUUUCUUCCUCUUCCCCACAUCUCCAAGUAACAUAAGAUGAUAAGAACAUACAGAAUAGGCCAGGGUUUGAAGAUCCGUCAGUUAAGAUCCUUACUAGGAUUCUUUCAUGUCACACCAAGUGACCAAACAACACAUCUUAAAGCAUUGCCUCCAACUUUGACCCCCCCCCCUUUUUUUUUGCGGGGACAACUUUGACACCCUUUGUUGGAACAACCGGUUACUUCAGACCACUUGGGUUAGUGUUGAGUUGGAGUACUUCGAACUAUCUAUGGAGUAUUAGGAGUUAAAAUUUGGAUAUUCGUAGACGAAGAAUAACCAACCCUGUCUUCCCAUUCUGUUCAGUAAUAGAAUAAAAAAUGACAAGAGCCUUAUUUUCCCUAAAAUCCCUGAAAAAAAGAAGAAAUUCUACCUCUUUCUAUAAGAUUUAAUGAAAAUUGAGAAAUCUUUUAAUAAAAUUGCUAUGCUUAGUGUGUGACUCGUUAGUUUUUUUUAGGGUUCAAAAAGGGGAUAAAAAAAAUAGAAUGAACCCUACUAUGUAAUUAUAGAAAAUGAACUAAUAACCAACCUAUUGCUUCGUAUUGUUGAGAUCCUAACUAAGAAACAGUCACUAUAUGAAUAAAUACAUCUAUCAUAAAUGAGUAAAUCUAUCAUAUACGUGUAGCAACUGCAAUUUUUUCUUUAAAAAAAUAGGAUUCUAAGUUGUGAAGCAAAACUAAAGGGGAUGUAGAUAAAAGGAAGGAUGAUAGAAAGAAGGAAGAGAAAUAAGAAAGAUAUAGGAUUCCAAUAUGUAUGGUCUAUGAAUUACAUCAUAAAAAGCAAUGUGAUAAAGCAUCAAUAUAAUAAAAAUAACAGAGAAUUCGAAAUCGUAAUUUGAUUGAAACGAGAAAUACAAAUUUCAAGGAAUAACAAAGAGCGUCCCGAGUUAAUAAAAGUGAGAAAUUGACUCGGAAAGAAAUUUUUUGGAAGCUCCAUUGCGAGAUUCAAACCUAACCAUUAAAGGAGAAGCAGUGGGAACGACAGAACCUAUUACUGGAUAGGAUUUUCUUGAAAAGAAUCCCAAUACUUCAUUGGGUGGGAUGGCGGAACAAACCAAAAAAAUUGUCUUAUUCGAUAAGGUUAUGAAUUAACAAAUAAGACAGGAAAGAGUAAAUAUUCGCCCGCGAAAUUUUUAUUGAAUUAGAAUACUUUACCGCGAUUCAAUAAGAGUAAAAUAAAAAAAAGGAGAUAAAAAAAAGAAUUACAUUAAAUAUAGAAUAUAGAUAAAUAAACAUACACAUCUAGAUAUAUUCUAGAUCCUCUUUCUUGACUAUAUAUUUUAGUAUUUUAAUAAAUUCAAUAUUAAAAACCCUAACCUUUCCUAUUAAUGUGUAUCUAUCCGUAAUAUUUUAGAAUAUUGUGGAAUUAGAGAAAUUUGCACACAUUUGAUUCGCGAGGAGCUGGAUGAGAAGAAACUCUCAUGUCCAGUUUUGCAGUAGAGAUGGAACUAAGAGAGAACCAUCGACUAAAACCCCAAAAGAACCAGAUUUCGUAAACAACAUAGAGGAAGAAUGAAGGGAAAAUCCUACCGAGGCAAUUGUAUUUGUUUUGGUAGAUAUGCUCUUCAAGCACUUGAACCCACUUGGAUUACGGCGAGGCAGAUAGAAGCAGGACGAAGAGCAAUGACACGAUAUGCACGUCGUGGUGGAAAAAUCUGGGUACGUAUAUUUCCCGACAAACCGGUUACAAUAAGACCGACCGAAACACGUAUGGGUUCGGGAAAGGGAUCCCCCGAAUAUUGGGUAGCCGUUGUUAAACCAGGUCGAAUACUUUAUGAAAUGGGCGGAGUAUCCGAAACUGUAGCUAGAGCAGCUAUUUCCAUAGCUGCCAGCAAAAUGCCCAUACGAAGUCAAUUUCUUCGGUUAGAAAUAUAACCCCCCCAAAAAAGUAGUAUUGAAAAUAAAAAACCAGGUUCUUCUUUCUGGAAAGACAAUAUUUCUUUCAUCCUUUUGCAUUGAAAUAACAAAUUGAAAUCAAAAUAAUAUGAUUCAACCUCAGACCCUUUUAAAUGUAGCAGAUAACAGUGGAGCUCGAAAAUUGAUGUGUAUUCGAGUCAUAGGAGCUGCUAGUAAUCAGCGAUAUGCUCGUAUUGGUGAUGUUAUUGUUGCUGUAAUCAAAGACGCAGUGCCCCAAAUGCCUCUAGAAAGAUCCGAAGUAAUUCGAGCUGUAAUUGUACGUACAUGUAAAGAGUUCAAAUGCGAAGACGGUAUAAUAAUACGCUAUGACGACAAUGCAGCGGUUAUCAUUGAUCAAAAAGGAAAUCCAAAAGGAACUCACGUUUUUGGCACGAUCGCCGAGGAAUUGAGAGAAUUGAAUUUUACUAAAAUAGUUUCAUUAGCUCCUGAAGUAUUAUAAAUACUAGUAGACAAGAUAUAGAUCAAAUAAAAAAUUAGUAGAUUGUGUUUCACGUAUAUGCUUUAGAAUCCAAAACGAAAAGAAAAAAGAGAACAUGUUGAUUAUAGAAAAAUUAGGAGGAACCUAGAAUUAGAGUCUUAUGGGCAAGGACACUAUUGCUGAUUUACUAACCUCUAUAAGAAACGCGGACAUGAAUAAAAAAGGAACUGUUCGGGUAGUAUCUACAAAUAUUACCAAAAACAUUGUUAAAAUACUUCUACGAGAGGGUUUUAUUGAAAGUGUUCGGAAACAUCAGGAAAGUAAUAGAUAUUUCUUGGUUUCAACUUUGCGACAUCAAAAGAGAAAGACUAGAAAGGGAAUAUAUAGAACUAGAACCUUUUUAAAGCGUAUCAGCCGACCUAGCUUACGAAUUUAUGCCAACUAUCAAGGAAUUCCUAAGGUUUUGGGCGGAAUGGGAAUUGCUAUUCUUUCUACUUCUCGAGGUAUAAUGACAGAUCGAGAAGCUCGACUAAACAGAAUUGGGGGAGAAGUUUUAUGUUAUAUAUGGUAAUCGCCCCGCCUAUAGCGGUAAUCGCCCCACCUAUAGUUAUAGUACCCAAAUUCUAUCUUGAACUUCCUAUUUUUCAAACAAAAAUACAACGUUUUUUAUUUGAAAAUAAAAAAAGAAAAAUAGGAGAAAAAAAUAUGACAGAAAAGAAAAAUAGGAGAGAAAAAAAAACCCGAGAGAAGCAAAAAUUACUUUCGAGGGUUUAGUUAUGGAAGCCCUACCCAACGGA
This 38153-nucleotide long non-coding RNA is filed under the name Oryza sativa (Asian cultivated rice). Lineage: Eukaryota; Viridiplantae; Streptophyta; Magnoliopsida; Poales; Poaceae. The record is from RNAcentral.